This 2811-nucleotide long non-coding RNA is filed under the name Equus caballus (horse). Its description in RNAcentral is "lncRNA (ENSECAG00000049564.1)". The record is from RNAcentral. Lineage: Eukaryota; Metazoa; Chordata; Mammalia; Perissodactyla; Equidae.
GCCAGAUCACACACACAGGGUUGCUAUUCAGAGCACAGACUCAGAGCCAGGCUGCCUGGCUUCAAAUCCCAGCUCUGUCAUUCAUUAGCUGUGUGAUCUUGGGCAGGACGUUUAACCUCCCUGUGAUGUGAGCACAAUAGUAGCCCCUCCCUCAUAGGGCAGCUGUGAGGAUGCAGUGAGCUAAUACAUAUGCCCAGCAGAGGGCAAGAGUGAAGGGUGUCAGCUCCCCCACCACAAUGACCCGCCUGGCACUCUACCCCUGGUGCCAGCAGUGUCUCUUCUCUCUCCUCCAGGUCACGGAGUGUAGGGAAAGGACAAGCGCCCAAGCUCUCUGGCUCCUUUCGAAGACUCUCCAGGUGGAGCGAGAGUCUGACCCAGCCCUGCUCUAUGAUGCCCUGGGGUCCCCCCAGCUGCCCACCCUGCUGGCAGGUAAGGGAAAGACUUUAGAUUUUUCUCAGAAAUUGUACUUUUCUCAAAUGUAUUUAAAAUGAGGCCAUUGGGAGAUUGUUAUGCCUGAUCAUUAUAUGAAGAAAUUUUAUUUCUCUCCCACAUCUUUCUCUUUAGAGCCGCAGUCACUGGAGAAAGCAGCUGUCAUCAUCUCAGAAUUUCUGACAGCAGAUAAAGCGUGGCCAAUGCUGUGUAUCAGAAAAUAGUGAUUCAUUUUCGCAACUAUAUUUGAUCCCUUAAACAGCCUCCUGAGAGGCUAUUUUGCUUAGAAAAUUCUGAAGACAGCUGAAGAGAGAACAGGAAGUACAGAAAAAGGGGAAUGCCCUGCUGGAUAUUUCAGAAUGUUGACUCCGCUCCAGUGAAUCUGAUUCUGGCUGCAGCUUUUAUUAGUAAGAGAGUCAUUUCUUCCCACCCCACUCCCAUGAAAUGAAUGUCAAACAUUUAAAGAAUCUCAAGUUAAAAGGAUACAAAUUAUUAGCCUCCCUCCCCUUGGACCCACACACAUCUCAUCCUUCCAUCAGAACAACAGGUUUUAUGUCAAAAACCAUGGUAUGGUUUUAAGAGGUGUGUGGCUUACGUCAGUUCCCCAGAAGAUGCCCCUGAGACGAAGAUCAGUGGGCAAUGAUUAUUAAAGGAAGGGCUCCCAGGGGGAACAAGCAAAGGAGAGGAGAAAUGGGACAAGGAAGGAGGAGGAGUCAAACACUGGAGAGACUCAGGGGAAGUCACCCAGACCCCACCAUAGGCCACUCCCGAAGGCGCCCUAGGGUGUGAGUCCAGCUCAGAGUCAGGACUCCAGGCACAGGUGGCCUGUCCUAUUCCCACAGUCAGGCUUUUCCUGGGGGCUAUAGGUGGCCUGGAAGCAAGGGAAGUGCUCAGCCUCCAGCUCUGUGCUGGCAGGCAGAGCAGCGCCAGGACCCUGGAAGCAGCCCUCUGAAGAGGAGCUGUGCCCUGUAGGCGCUGCUUCUAGAGCGACUGAAGACAGGGAGUCCAGGAUGGGUGGAGGCACCAGAGGGUGUCUGGUGAGCCCAGCACUGCUCACAACUGGAACUCAUCAAUGUAGUUUACACCCUUGCUGCAAAGGAGAAGUUUCACUGAGAUCAGAAGACAAGUGAACUGGGCCUGCUCCCCAUUGCUGCACUGAAGCCACUGGUCAGUAGGAGACUGAUAAAGAAGAAGGCAGCCCCAGUAUCAGACCCAUCCCCAAAGUCCCCGGCCAGACAAUCCCAGGAGGGAAAAGUCUUCUGGUCUAGUGCGCCAGAGUUUAAGACCCCUGGGCAGGACACCGCGCUGAUGCUCCCUCAAAUCCACCUUGUUGACAGCAUAGCUCCACCUCCAGCCUUGUUCAGGAGUCUCUCCUUGGCCAAGCAGCUUGGUGUGGAGGAAAGGGUAGAGGUCUUGGCAUCACACUUGCAUUAAACAUUUAAUCUCUCGAAGCUGCAUUUCUCUAGUGAGCGAAAUAGAGAUCAUCUCCCUGCUUGGCAGGGAGGUGGUAACAAGUGGAGAGAACACACGUAAAGCAUCUAGCCCAGUGGAAACACCGCGAUGCCUUUUAGUCUUUACCCUCAUUCUCUUGUCCUGAGAGAGAAGCAGCAGCCAGGCCUGGAACACUGGAUCUCUGAUGUAUAGAACACACCUGCCCCUCCAGGAGACGUUCUUCUGGAUCCUAGCACAGAGCUGCUGCGUACUGGUCUUCAUGCUCGGACCCCUGCCACCUGCCUCCAGGCUUCCCUGUAAGGCCCAGACCUCCGCGGGCUCCUCCCUCAAAGACCCUCUAGCCACCCUCACACUCGGUUGCCUUCAGCUAGCACUGACCCACCAGGCCUUGCAAGUCCCUCCAGUUCCUUGGUUCUGCUCCCUCUCAUCAGUACCAUUCUGUUGCUUGCGCAGCAUGGAGAUGCCUCUCAAUUUGUAGCCAAAGAAUAAUAAAAACUCUCUACGUGGAAAAGAAAUUUAGAAUGCCCCGGGCUCACGGAGCUGGAAAGGACUUUGGCCAGGCAAAGCCAUUUUUAACAGAGUUAAUGGCAGGACUAGGGGAAGCCAGGCUGCAGAAACGAAGAAGCCCAAGAUACCAGGAACUUAACACAGAGAACAUUGAUCUCCUGCUCCCUCAGAGGCCGCCGCUCAUCCGGAUGGUUCUGCCAGGCGCUGUCCUUCAUGCAGUGACCCAACCAUUCAGGGGAGCAUUUCAGAGGCUCUGCCAUCUCCACCUGUGGCCUCCCCUGCAGGUGACGUGGCUGGUGAAACAGAGAGUCAAGCAGGGCUCAACCACCUGGGAUAAUGUCCACCCACAUCACGAUGCUCACAGCUGGCAGAAGGCUGGAUUUCUCCUGACCGGGAGCCAGCUGCCCCAUCUGGAGUGCCUUG